Molecule: ribosomal RNA, 1341 nt
Filed under: uncultured bacterium
Lineage: Bacteria
Description: partial 16S ribosomal RNA
Rfam family: Bacterial small subunit ribosomal RNA
Source: RNAcentral
GACGAACGCUGGCGGCGUGCUUAACACAUGCAAGUCGAACGGCAAGGCUCCAGCUUGCUGGGGUACACGAGUGGCGAACGGGUGAGUAACACGUGGGUGACCUGCCCUGCACUUCGGGAUAAGCCUGGGAAACUGGGUCUAAUACCGGAUAGGACCGCACCGUGAGGGUGUGGUGGAAAGUUUUUUCGGUGUGGGAUGGGCCCGCGGCCUAUCAGCUUGUUGGUGGGGUAAUGGCCUACCAAGGCGGCGACGGGUAGCCGGCCUGAGAGGGUGGACGGCCACAUUGGGACUGAGACACGGCCCAGACUCCUACGGGAGGCAGCAGUGGGGAAUAUUGCACAAUGGGCGGAAGCCUGAUGCAGCGACGCCGCGUGGGGGAUGACGGCCUUCGGGUUGUAAACUCCUUUCACCAUCGACGAAGGGUUUCUGACGGUAGAUGGAGAAGAAGCACCGGCUAACUACGUGCCAGCAGCCGCGGUAAUACGUAGGGUGCGAGCGUUGUCCGGAAUUACUGGGCGUAAAGAGCUCGUAGGUGGUUUGUCGCGUCGUCUGUGAAAUUCCGGGGCUUAACUCCGGGCGUGCAGGCGAUACGGGCAUAACUUGAGUACUGUAGGGGAGACUGGAAUUCCUGGUGUAGCGGUGAAAUGCGCAGAUAUCAGGAGGAACACCGGUGGCGAAGGCGGGUCUCUGGGCAGUAACUGACGCUGAGGAGCGAAAGCAUGGGGAGCGAACAGGAUUAGAUACCCUGGUAGUCCAUGCCGUAAACGGUGGGCGCUAGGUGUGGGUUUCCUUCCACGGGAUCCGUGCCGUAGCUAACGCAUCAAGCGCCCCGCCUGGGGAGUACGGCCGCAAGGCUAAAACUCAAAGGAAUUGACGGGGGCCCGCACAAGCGGCGGAGCAUGUGGAUUAAUUCGAUGCAACGCGAAGAACCUUACCUGGGCUUGACAUAUACAGGAUCGCGCCAGAGAUGGUGUUUCCCUUGUGGCUUGUAUACAGGUGGUGCAUGGUUGUCGUCAGCUCGUGUCGUGAGAUGUUGGGUUAAGUCCCGCAACGAGCGCAACCCUUGUCUUAUGUUGCCAGCACGUUGUGGUGGGGACUCGUAAGAAACUGCCGGGGUUAACUCGGAGGAAGGUGGGGAUGACGUCAAAUCAUCAUGCCCCUUAUGUCCAGGGCUUCACACAUGCUACAAUGGUCGGUACAGUGGGUUGCCAGUCCGUGAGGGCGAGCUAAUCCCGCAAAGCCGGUCUCAGUUCGGAUCGGGGUCUGCAACUCGACCCCGUGAAGUCGGAGUCGCUAGUAAUCGCAGAUCAGCAACGCUGCGGUGAAUACGUUCCCGGGCCU